GACGAACGCUGGCGGCGUGCUUAACACAUGCAAGUCGAACGGAAAGGCCUGCUUUCCCUUGUGGAUUGCGGGUACUCGCGUGGCGAACGGGUGAGUAACACGUGAGUGAUCUGCCCCCAACUUGGGUAUAAGCCUGGGAAACUGGGUCUAAUUCCCGAUAGGACUGCAGGGUGGUGCCUGUGGUGGAAAACGAUUUUCUAGUGGUUGGGGAUGAGCUCGCGGCCUAUCAGCUUGUUGGUGGGGUAAUGGCCUACCAAGGCGGCGACGGGUAGCCGGCCUGAGAGGGUGGACGGCCACAUUGGGACUGAGAUACGGCCCAGACUCCUACGGGAGGCAGCAGUGGGGAAUAUUACACAAUGGGCGGAAGCCUGAUGCAGCGACGCCGCGUGGGGGAUGACGGGCUUCGGGUUGUAAACUCCUUUCGACCGCGAGGAAGCCACCUGGUUGGAAGGGUGGUGACGGUAGUGGUAGAAGAAGCACCGGCUAACUACGUG
Molecule: ribosomal RNA, 494 nt
Filed under: uncultured bacterium
Lineage: Bacteria
Description: partial 16S ribosomal RNA
Rfam family: Bacterial small subunit ribosomal RNA
Source: RNAcentral